GAUGAACGCUGACAGAAUGCUUAACACAUGCAAGUCAACUUGAACUUCGGUUUGGGUGGCGGACGGGUGAGUAACGCGUAAAGAACUUGCCUCACAGCUAGGGACAACAUUUGGAAACGAAUGCUAAUACCUGAUAUUAUGAUUUUAGGGCAUCCUAGAAUUAUGAAAGCUAUAUGCGCUGUGAGAGAGCUUUGCGUCCCAUUAGCUAGUUGGAGAGGUAACGGCUCACCAAGGCGAUGAUGGGUAGCCGGCCUGAGAGGGUGAACGGCCACAAGGGGACUGAGACACGGCCAUUACUCCUACGGGAGGCAGCAGUGGGGAAUAUUGGACAAUGGACCAAGAGUCUGAUCCAGCAAUUCUGUGUGCACGAUGAAGUUUUUCGGAAUGUAAAGUGCUUUCAGUUGGGAAGAAAAAAAUGACGGUACCAACAGAAGAAGUGACGGCUAAAUACGUG
RNAcentral lists this ribosomal RNA (454 nucleotides) under uncultured bacterium. RNAcentral describes it as "partial 16S ribosomal RNA". It matches the Rfam family "Bacterial small subunit ribosomal RNA", at positions 28 to 507 of the family's 1533-position model. The record is from RNAcentral.